AGAACCUGUGGCUACUUAGUGGAUUUUCUUUCCCUUCCCUUUUAUUUCCACUUCCUUUUCACUUUGCAGUGGUCCUGCUUGCAUGGGUUGCCUUUUUUUUUUGUGGCUUGGUGUGGCAUUGAGCUAAACUCUAGAGCAGACCUCUGUGGUGGCUUUAGGGUGCAAUAACGUCCUGAAUGAAUCAUUUUUGGAAGCAAGCAUGGUCCAUAUUAUUGGCUGUCUGGAGAGACUCUUGUAGUAACUGAGAGGACAGGAGACCAUAAGCUGUUCAGAGCCUUUAAAGUCAGUGCUGUUCCACAGCUGUGCACUGGAAUAUUUUGUGGUGGAGUACAGGGAUGUUCUUCCGAGGAGGGCUUGCUGGAAAUUUGAAGCCACGUGUGGCACGUUUUGCAAAGGGAGACCUGGAAGCAGAGGGCAGUUGUUUGUUGAUGGCUUUAAACCUCUCUGCUUGUUGUGCACAGGGGCAAAGACCCGGCUGUAGUUUGUAUUCUGCAGUGACAGAGACCAAGGGACUGAGUCUGUCUGAAAGUGCUGAAGAGCACAGAGCUCUACAAAUAAUACUGAUGUGUCUUCAUCCCCAGGUAAUUCACAAGAGAGCUGAAGUGCUAUUUAAAUACCUGAUAUUUUGGGAGGCUUAAUAACUAAUCUUACUGUUCUGCAGUUUUUGAGGUGUUUUGGGAGCUUUGAAAAUUGUUUCUCAACUUGUGUUGGAAGGGUCCUGGCUGAGCCUGCAAUCAUCUGUUCUCAGUAUUUCCCCACCUCUUCCAAAAACUGACACUUCCUCACCUGCCUUUGAAUCCCUCAUGGAGGAACCCAGUGGACUCCC
This 826-nucleotide long non-coding RNA is filed under the name Cyanistes caeruleus (blue tit). Its description in RNAcentral is "lncRNA (ENSCCEG00000001916.1)". Lineage: Eukaryota; Metazoa; Chordata; Aves; Passeriformes; Paridae. The record is from RNAcentral.